RNAcentral lists this ribosomal RNA (524 nucleotides) under uncultured bacterium. Its description in RNAcentral is "partial 16S ribosomal RNA". It matches the Rfam family "Bacterial small subunit ribosomal RNA", at positions 28 to 523 of the family's 1533-position model. The record is from RNAcentral.
GACGAACGCUGGCGGCGUGCCUAAUACAUGCAAGUCGAGCGCAGGAAGCCAUCUGAACCCUUCGGGGGGACGACGGUGGAAUGAGCGGCGGACGGGUGAGUAACACGUAAAGAACCUGCCCAUAGGUCUGGGAUAACCACGAGAAAUCGGGGCUAAUCACGGAUGUGUCAUCGGACCGCAUGGUCCGCUGAUGAAAGGCGCUCCGGCGUCGCCCAUGGACGGCUUUGCGGUGCAUUAGCUAGUUGGUGGGGUAACGGCCCACCAAGGCGACGAUGCAUAGCCGACCUGAGAGGGUGAUCGGCCACACUGGGACUGAGACACGGCCCAGACUCCUACGGGAGGCAGCAGUAGGGAAUCUUCCACAAUGGACGAAAGUCUGAUGGAGCAACGCCGCGUGAACGAUGAAGGCUUUCGGGUCGUAAAGUUCUGUUGUAAGGGAAGAACAAGUGCCGCAGGCAAUGGCGGCACCUUGACGGUACCUUGCGAGAAAGCCACGGCUAACUACGUGCCAGCAGCCGCCGUAA